CCCGACCAGCAUUAUCCUGUAAAAUGGGUUAGAAAUCCUAUUAUUUUGAAACUGGCGAGGCUCAACAGACGACCACACAUGUUCUCCUAACAAAUUACCUUCUGAUUCCACCAAGACAGAUCCAGAGAGCGGCGAUGGACCCGACGCACCACGACUAUGACUGUCCACGAGAUUGGACAUUCGGUCACCAGAUGAAGAGCCAACAAACUCACGAUUAAAAUGGAAGUAGUAUCGCUGGGCAAAAUUAUCAAAGUGCCUGCAAAUCUGGCAUUAAAGACGAGUGCGAAACCCUCGACCGCGAUCUCCAGACGAGAACCAACCGCCCCGAACAGAGCCCACCUGUGACGGAGUAGCUUCCAAAAGGUUCGCACAAAGAGGUACAUCCUGUACCACACGCGCGGACUGACUCUCAUAUUCAAGCAGCAAAUUGACUAAACGCUGAAGCGGUAGAGGCUCCGACAAAAACGACGUGAGGGUGAUGACCAAAUCAAACUCUUGAGUCGAGAGAGUUUUGUACUUAUAACGGCAGUGAAGAGAUGAGUGGCAGUGCUCCACACAUCACAUGCCAUUCGAGCCUCUGUAAAGGAUGGGAGAAGUGAGGAACUAAUCGUGGACAAUAGCAAGAAGUGAGUAACCGAUCUUGCUAAAUAAACGCCGAGGCGUCCGGAUUCGGAACAAGCGAGCCUUCGGAAGUUGGCACAAAUCGCGGUGUUGCGGAUACCAUCCCAUCCAAAAAACCAGUUAGCUCGUAUCUUUCAACUAUCAAUCUAACAUGUUGCUUCCACUGAACAAAUGUGCGUUCAUCCAAUUUGACAGUCUCAUGAUGCGGGAACGAGUGAACAAGCCUAGCCUCAGUGAACACCGAACCUCCAUGUUCGACGGAGGCAGAAUCUGCAGAAGUCGUGGUGGUCAUGUACACAAAUCUCCAUCACCUUAGGCGACUGAUACCAUGUUAACACCUUCGGUGAGAAAUAUAUUGUGUAAAGAAAUAACACUAUCUCAAAUAUUGAAAACUGGAAAAUAUAUCUAGUAUGAAUGAAUUCUUUUUAUUCUCUGUUCUUUGUUUUA
Long non-coding RNA from Gossypium raimondii (Peruvian cotton), 1068 nucleotides. RefSeq lists it as uncharacterized. The record is from RefSeq and is a predicted model, not a curated record. Lineage: Eukaryota; Viridiplantae; Streptophyta; Magnoliopsida; Malvales; Malvaceae. The transcript has 2 exons.